Long non-coding RNA from Oncorhynchus tshawytscha (Chinook salmon), 864 nucleotides. The record is from Ensembl. NCBI's taxonomy places the organism in Eukaryota, Metazoa, Chordata, Actinopteri, Salmoniformes, Salmonidae.
CUGCUCUUUGUGCGGGAUUGUUUGUGUGACUAGUGUGCACGUUAGAGGUUAACGUGUUUCCUGUUCGUGGGUUUUUGCUGGACUGUUUUAGUCCCCGUGUUUGGGGCAUUUGUUUUUGUGUGCGCCCUGUGUUUUCGUGGGGUGGCUUAUGUUCGCCAUUUGUGCAUUAAAUAGCACUAUCCUGAACUAUCUGCUUCCUGCGCCUGACUUCGUACCCACUACACCCAGAUCAUUACAACCAGUCAAAGAUUCCGUCUCUCACAGUUGAAGUGUACCUAUGAUAAAAAUGACAGACCUCUACAUGCUUUGACCAAGACUCAGGAAUCAUCACCAGCAUCAGCCCAACAUAGAGAGGCACUGCACAGGACUAACCUCCCAGACUCAGGACACUGAACAGCCACCAACAGAAGAGAGAAGUGUUCUCUUUCAGACACUACUCAGUCAUUCCUCUACUGUUGUAUGUACACUCUACCAAUUAAAUAAAUUGCUAACAAGUAGCCCACCGAUACAGUUCACCCAACCCUUCAAUGAGGGAAUGCUUCUGAAUUUUGCAUGUGGAUAUGAGUCGUUAUACAGUAGAUUAAGAUUCCUUAGAGACCUUGGCUUUGCAUGUAAAAUCCUAGUGUUUCUGGCAUGAAAUGAUUUGUAUUACUAUCUCCCUCUCUCCGACAAAUAGACAAUGACUUGUAAGUGUUAAUUAAUUGUAAAAAAUAUUUAAAAAGUGAUAUUAUUUUACCUUUUAAUAGGCUGAAAAUAUUGUGUCCCAACUCUCAGGUACUGUAAAUGCUGUACAUACAUUUUGUAAAAAACGUGUCUACAGUGGUUUAUUUGUAUGUAUUACUGUGUUUGUUCUUUCCAAUUCAC